CUGAUGUCAUAGGAAUGUAGCUCGGCAACCUUCUCUCUCUUUAGUCGCUCUGUUACGCUGACUGUUGCUAAAGAAUGAAAGGAAAUGGGUGGGAGCGAUUUUUCCUUCAGUGCUUCAGAACUGCUUUGACAUGGAACAUAGUUCACACAGAACCUAUUAGUUAACUUUGACUAAGACCAGACAGAGAGGAACGUAUAGGAACUGAACUCUGUACCUUCAGACAGGACCAGACAGAGAGGAAUGUAUAGGAACUGAACUCUGUACCUUCAGACAGAGAGGAAUGUAUAGGAGCUGAACUCUGUACCUUCAGACAGGACCAGACAGAGAGGAAUGUAUAGGAACUGAACUCUGUACCUUCAGACAGGACCAGACAGAGAGGAAUGUAUAGGAGCUGAACUCUGUACCUUCAGACAGGGCCAGACAGAGAGGAAUGUAUAGGAACUGAACUCUGAACUCUGUACCUUCAGACAGGACCAGACAGAGAGGUACGUAUAGGAGCUCAGUAAACUCUCUGUACCUUCAGACAGGACCAGACAGAGAGGGAAUAUUCGGAUGGAAAGGUUGAUGAUCUCUCCCAUGGAAAUAAAUUACCCAGAUUUCCUGAGUUAAUGUCAAAAUGGCUGAGUGAUGGGGGGGGGAUCCCACUAAUGAUGUUAUUCAUAAUUCAUAAACUGUUUCACUGUUACCAAGUCUUGUUACUGUAGAAUAAAGAUCAAAGUGAAUAGCAGACUGUUAUUAGAAGUCAACGUCGUCUCAACCACAAUGACAUCUAUAAUGGUUUCCCAGAAGACCGGACUGGGGCACAAUAAUGUACUGUGGUUAAUCUCCCUGGACUGUGUGGGUCUUCCACCUGGUAAUCUACCCGUGGCUGUGUCCCAAGGGCCUUCCCCCUGGUUAUCUCCCUGGGCUUUGUACCAAGGUAUUUCCACCUGGUUAUCUCCCUGGGCUUUGUACCAAGGUAUUUCCCCCUGGUUAUCUCCCUGGGCUUUGUACCAAGGUAUUUCCACCUGGUUAUCUCCCUGGGCUUUGUACCAAGGUAUUUCCCCCUGGUUAUCUCCCUGGGCUUUGUACCAAGGUAUUUCCACCUGGUUAUCUCCCUGGGCUUUGUACCAAGGUAUUUCCCCCUGGUUAUCUCCCUGGGCUGUGUACCAAGGUAUUUCCCCCUGGUUAUCUCCCUGGGCUGUGUACCAAGGUAUUUCCACCUGGUUAUCUCCCUGGGCUGUGUAUCAAGGUAUUUCCACCUGGUUAAUCUCCCUGGGCUGUGUAUCAAUGUAUUUCCACCUGGUUAAUCUCCCUGGGCUUUGUACCAAGGUAUUUCCACCUGGUUAAUCUCCCUGGGCUGUGUAUCAAUGUAUUUCCACCUGGUUAAUCUCCCUGGGCUGUGUAUCAAUGUAUUUCCACCUGGUUAUCUCCCUGGGCUGUGUAUCAAUGUAUUUCCACCUGGUUAUCUCCCUGGGCUGUGUACCAAGGUAUUUCCACCUGGUUAUCUCCCUGGGCUGUGUACCAAGGUAUUUCCACCUGGUUAUCUCCCUGGGCUUUGUACCAAUGUAUUUCCACCUGGUUAAUCUCCCUGGGCUGUGUACCAAG
This 1587-nucleotide long non-coding RNA is filed under the name Salmo salar (Atlantic salmon). Its description in RNAcentral is "lncRNA (ENSSSAG00000094482.1)". The record is from RNAcentral. Lineage: Eukaryota; Metazoa; Chordata; Actinopteri; Salmoniformes; Salmonidae.